Zonotrichia leucophrys gambelii is the source of this 7365-nucleotide long non-coding RNA. RefSeq lists it as uncharacterized. The transcript has 3 exons. The record is from RefSeq and is a predicted model, not a curated record. NCBI's taxonomy places the organism in Eukaryota, Metazoa, Chordata, Aves, Passeriformes, Passerellidae.
AUAGACUCUGCUUCUGGGUUUGGGGUUCUUCACAGGGGGAGGCUGGAUGAGACUCCCUCUAGAAGAGGAGUGCUGGGGAGUCUCCAGGGAAGAUGGGGUGAAGAUACCCAGAUCAGCAGCAUCUGCAGUGGCCAGUUGAGGUUAGUGGCUUGCCUGUGGGUUAUGAAAUGCUCACAGUACACCUGAGCAAGGCUUCCGAGAAAGAGAGGUGCUGCACCUGUGGCAGAUGUCCUUCUUUGCUGGUGAUGAAGGAGCAUGACGCCAGCACCAGGCUGCUGUGCCUGUCUCCAGCUGCUGACAGAGCCCCUAUUCUGCUGCCUCUGGUUCCUCUCAGCGUUUGGCAUUUCCCGGACAGCCCGUACUCCAUAAGGCCUCAGUGUCUGAAUACGAGGACGGCUUGAACGUUGCCUGCUGAGACUGAAGAAGAACUUGAGUUAAAAUAAUCCUCUCUUUUGUUCCGCUUGGGUUGCUUUUUGUUUGCCUGACAGAUGUUCGGCCCCUGUGCGUGUGCAAGGAGCGGCUCCUCCGCCGGGCCCUCUGAUCCGCCAGCUUAUUGAUUUCUGCCUAUCUGUGCGCCUUGUCUGCAGCCCUUACAGAUGCGAGGGCUGGGGCGGCAGCCCCUCUCCUUCUCACACAAAUAGGGCAAUCCUCUAUUGUCAGGGGGCCAGCGGAGGAGAGCGAGCCUCACUCCCUCUUGAGCCAUUGUGACAAAUUCAGUCGGGUUUUGGGGGGCAGAGGGGAGAUUAGGCGUGAAGCACCGAUGCCCGUUCUGACAGCGUGUGACGCCGCUGCACAGGUGCCUGAGGAAACGGGAAGGAAGAGGCUGAGUGAGGGCACCAAGGGCUCAGAGCUCUGCACUGUGCCUGUGUGUUAUCUCAAGUUCAUAUUUCAGUCAUUUUAUUGGGGAACAUAAGGUUCCAAGUUGUGGCUAGGGAAAAUCUUGAAAACUGCAGUUUUGCUCUGCUCUUCCUAAAUGGCAUUGCUGUCCACUGCUCGAGUUUCAGUGACUGGACUAACCAUGAAGUCACUUCCAUCUUGCAGGUAAUGGCCCUGUAAGCCACAUGUAAUACUUUUCUUCUACCUCGCUUUUUUGGUUUAUUUUGGUUUUGACUUGAUUUUCUGCCUCCUGAGAAAUGUGUCAGGGUGCUCUGCAAGAGAAGCACGCUGCAGAUCUGCAUCCACGCUUUGGCAUACAGUUGCAGGCUCACUUUGCUGCUGACAGCAGCUUGGCUUUUGUUUAACCCUUGACAUAAGCCCGCAGAGGUCUGACCUGUCACCGGCUCUGGUGCUCUGGACGGAGUGUGGAGAAGGAGGCAGUUGUUGUGCACCACUCAGCUGUCUCCCCUCGUUAAGCCCCCAUCCCUGGAAAGCAGUCAUUGUGCGUGCUGCCCAGCACAUCCCUGUGGCAGCAGCUCCUCACUGCUGUCUGUGAUGCACGUGUGUGCAUGGAGGAUGCACUCACAAGGAACACCCCUUUCUCUGGGGCUGGGACAAAGGCCAUGAGAGCAGCUCCAGGGUGUGCAUCUCCCACCCUGCCAACCUUUUGCACCUACAGUGAGCUUGCUGUCUGCAUAACAGCUUUUCUACUCUGUGCCAAGUUGCUCUGCCUCGUUUCCCUCUCUCUGAAGGACAUCAUUUAUUGCUGUGCGCAUCAGAAUCUCCAGAGCUAUGACUCUGUGGUGGCCAGGAAUGGCACAUCCUUUGGCUUCAGUGAUGCUACCAGGCACUGGGUUGUCAUUUACUGCCGUGGUAGCUGGGUACCAAUUUAUUGAAAACUACCUGGUUAUGUGUUAAUGACCUGCUGCUUAACAGAAUAUUUUACCCCACAGAAACAAAUAUAGACACGCUAAAUAUUGCUCUUUGCUCACAAGGGUUGGGGUAGCUCAGUUUGGACUUGUUAAGGCAAAAUUCCCACUCUGACAUGUUGUGGUCUGUUGGAUCUUACUGAGAGGCUGUCAAGAGCUGGCAGAGGUACUUCACAUGGUGUCAAGUGAUUUAUACUAACAUGAAAAGCAGGCAGAGAGUUUUCAGCCUGUGGUGGCCUGCGUUGCAGCUCCUGCUAUGUUAUGGUUACCGGAUCUGAGACAGAAACCACAGCUUGGUGCCUCAGUCCUUGGUGGAUGCUUCCCACCAACAGCUUACUGUGACAGGCCUCAGUCAGAGAAAUGGCUCUGUGUAAUAUCUCUUUGAAUAAGGACUAGCAGUAGGCUGGGAAGAGAGACUUGGACAGCAUAUAUGGGGCAGAACAGAUGUUCCACACAGUCACAUGUGCCCCUGCCCCUCCAUCCUCUCAGUGUACAACAGCAUCACAGGGGUCCCCUUCACUCUCAUGAGUAACAGGAACACAGUGUUCUCUCAGCACCAGCUCAGGUCUUGAGAUUUGCUUUUAUGAUCUGUGUGUCACGCAGUCCAAGAGGGGUGUGUUUAUGGGCCUUUAAUUUGGGGGAAGUAACUUUGACAAGCCACAGUGAAUUCUGGAGCUAGCAACUUUCAUUACUCUGUUAGUCUUGGAUCCUCCUCAACACAUAUUUAAAAAUAAGGCAAAGUGGCUCAUUUGGAAAGAAGUGAUUUGUAAAAUGCUCUCUGGUUUGACAAGCAGGACUUUGCCAUGCCUGUGGGACCUCCUCUGAUGUCUCUUUCAGCGUCAGCAGAAGAGGAUUGUAACCACUGAGAACCACUCAAUGAACACUCUGCAAAGGAAAUUUUAUCUUGGGAGCAUCACCCAAACACUCCAUGGAUUUGAUUGUGUCCCAGUGACAUUUAAGGUGUUGUGCUCAACACGCUGAAACAAGUGAGACCUUGCCUGUAGCAAGCUGUGGGGAUGGCCAGACCCCUAGCUCAGACCAGGAGGGACAGCAGGUGAUGUAUGAACUGCUACCCAAGGGAGGAUGAAGACACAAAAUUCCAAAAUCCAUACCCAAAAUCCUCUGCAUGGAUCACACCUGAAAGUCAGGGCGUGGAGUGAUAAAAAUAUCCUCUGGCUUUCAGGAAGGAAAUGCCUUGUGGGUGUAGGUGGAUCAGUGAAUACAGCCCUGUGUAUCAGGUGGUAUCUGUAGGACAAUGUAACGCACUGCCUGGCACAAGUGAUUUUAUAUAUGUGCAUUUUUGCAAAGGCCAUGCUAUACCUCUCUGUAGGCUCUGUUGGACCAAUAAUACAGUGGGAGUUAUGUACAGCAGUCAUAUUUCAUAGAUGGCACCUGAAACCCAAGCUGUGCCCAUGCUGAGUGUUAGAAACGGAAAAAUCAGUAUUUGGAUUCAUCCCUUUCGCUUGUUUCUGCUUUACUCUCAGCGCCCUUCCCCUUGCUCCACAGCCUGUGGGUGAUGUUGUUGUUUGCAGGGCUGUGUGCGAGCUAUUCUGUGACUUUUCUUUAAAGCAGUUCUUUGAAAUUCUGCUGCUCCUGCAAUGGGGGCUGAGUGCGGUUGCGUCACUGUUGUGAUGGUCUGUCAAGCCAUCUAAUUGGUUUGUCUCAUUAAAACUUACAAUUGGCGUUUACAAGGCAGCAGUCCUGUAGUCCAACACUGUAGCUGGAGCCACACUGGCUGACCAAGCGCUUGCACGUGGGUUUUGGGAUGUGGAUGGAAAACUGCGACUCUCAUGACUUCAUCCCACAGCUCCUAAGAUAAAUCUUGAAUGUAUCAGACCAUCUCUGACUUCACCUUCUCUGUAGUGAGACUAACUGGAGGAAUUCACUUAAAAUCAACAAACAGCUGGCUUUUAAUCUCCAGCUCAGAGCCAAGACUGCUGGGAUCUCAAAUGGGACACUCAAGGGCCAUCCAUUAGCUGCUGUUGGAUAGCUUGGCCCGUAUUGGAUGUUCUUUUGUUGGCAAGAGGGUGGGGAGGAAAUGGUGCAAGAAGAGGGCAGAUUUCUGUAGCCUCUGAUAGAAACUAAAUUCUUGGAGUAGUUUCAAAAUGCAUUUUGGCUUUGAAUGGAAACAUUCGUGAAAACAACCCUCUACCUGUGCAAGUCAAAAUAUUAGUUAAAACACUACAAGUGCAUUCUCUUAUAAGAAGUCUAUUUUUUAUUUUAUUUUUAAUCUGAGCCAACUAGUCAAAAGGACCUCACUUACAUCAGGAGUCUGAUUCAUUGUCCUUUUUAAAUUUAAAUUGCAAUGAUGACUUCUGGCAGCAUAGUUAAAUUUAUCUGAGAGCACAAAUUAGAGUUCAGAGCUCUAGGUUUGUGCAGAGAAUGAAUAUCAGUGUAGAUUUUCUGCUAACACUGGGCUUAAACUAAGCACUGGGUUUAAACUAAACCACCAGAACCUCCUGUUAAAUGUUUGUCAGGAAUUUUAUGGGUUAAAUUAGGCAUGUGAAUGCCAGCAUACAGAUACUGCUUUGGCCACUGUAACUUCCCAGCUCCUCAGAGAAGAGCAUCUUGUCUGUUUGGUGCUUCACUGUGUUUGAUGGAGAGUGUCCCUUUGACAGAGAAGGAUCUUAACAGAGGCGAAGGGCACCACAGCCACUGACUUUAAAGGCUGUAGAGCCAAACAAAAUCCAUUGAGUGGUUUGGAUGUAACAGCCUGCACUGAAUCAAGAGUGUCUCUUUUCAAGGCUGUGAGCUCAACAGCUCUGCACUGAGAGCCUGGAGAAACGAGGAGGAAUCGAGCUACGUACCAGCUGAAAACACUUUGCAUCACCCUUUAAAAUGUUUUCACUUCAAAUGUUGCGGGUUAGCUCAGGGUAAGCACUUCUCUUGGCUUUUGAGAAAAGCCAUAAACCCCUAGACUUUGUGACUUAUUUUAAAUCUGAGAAUGAAAACACAUUGCAUGGCCUUUCCAAAGACAAAUUAUCUUUAAUUUUUAAAAAUCCCAUCUAAUUGUCAUUAAUCAAGCCAUCCCCUGUGCUAAUAAGAUGAAGGCAGGGAAUAACAUGCCAUUCCAGCUCAGGCAGCUGUUGUGCAUGUCAACCAGUUUCAAAACGCUUGGCAAAAGUUGUAAAUGCAGUUCUAAUGAGAUCGGCUUGUCUGCAACUAGCAAACACAUACCAGCCGCACCAAAAUGUUUGUUUGUUGUGGGACUAAGUGGAGAUUGUGUUAACUGUUCUGCCUUCAAGGGUACAUGUCAGGAAAAGUUCAGAUCAAGCACAAGGCAGUGACACUGGAAUGCAGCUUUCUCUUAUAUAAUCCCUGGAAAAAAGCCUCCACCUCAGUUCAUGGUUUUUGUUGUGCAUUAGGGGCAUUUCCCCUUGAGGACUCUUGACUUUCUGGUAUCUCAGUGCACGAGGUUCUCUGCAGAGGCUGCAUAAGCAAGCUGCAAACAGAAGUGUGUUUCCUACUGGGAUGUUUGAAGAUGGGCUCCUGGUAGGAGCAUUCUUCCAAGGCAUUCUACAGCAUCUCUCACCUGCCAGGUAUCUCCAGCUGGUUAUGCCUCCAUCAGCUGCCCAGGAUGGAGAGGAGGUGCUCAGCUGAGCCACCCAGGGGCUCCAGGGUGGGAGCACAGCCUUGAAAGAGCAAUGACCAGCUCAAUCAUCCACCCAGCCUGACUGCCAAGCUCAUCACAGCCAGUUCCACAAAGCCUGGUUAAACAGAGCAUUGGUCCAGAUUGGUCCAGAGGGGCUGCAAUCCUGCUCAGCUAAGCCACCUCAGUGGGCCAGGCACUGUGGGUGUCACAUACCCGCACCUGGCUGGGCAUCAGCACGUUGGUGACUUCUUGUAGAACCAUCCAGGAGUUCACCAAACCUGUGCAGCUGCAGAAAACUAAGCAGCAGAAAUACCUAUGCUUCAGAGAAGCCAAAUCUUAGGAAAGUCAAUAGCACUUUACCUCAACCAUGAAGUAUCCAUGUAACCACAAGUUUCAACACCUUGUUCCUUUUCCUCAGCACAAAAGAGAAUCCUAUUUUUUAACUUUCCUUUUAUGGUUCUUUGAGCUUAAGCACAAAGGACUGGUUAAAUUUCUGGUACCGUGACUACUCUCUUGCCAGUAGCCCUUUAAUCUGUGUCUUGUGCCAAAGAAUAUUAAUUAUUGUAGGCUGCAGUGAAGUCCAUCCCUACCCCCACUUGAGCCUCUGAAAUGAACAGUGAAGUUGAACUUUGCCAGCAACUGUUAGGAAAGGGGCCAAGAACAGCCUAACAGGAAAGAUACUCAGGAUUUUUUGUUUGUUUUUUCUGCUAAACCAUGUUUUUGUGAUUAUGAAUACUUUGUUGAAAUUGCUUGGAAAAGGAAGUACAGAGAAAAUGGUCCAUACAAUUAAACUAACUACAUAUUAGUGUUGAAAGAAUAUAAAACUGGUCCCACUCUGUUGCACUCACACAGACAAAACCCCUUCUCAGAAGGAAUUUGGCUUGAGAAGAGAGAUCUGGAGACAAAUCUUAGUUAACUUCAGGCCCAUGUGCCUUAUUGUCUGGUUUAUGACUGCCCCAAAUGGCCUAAAAGCAAAGGACAUUCACACUAAACAAAAGCAAAGGCUGAAAGAAAGAGAAAAGAGGAAUUUGAAAGCUGUCAUUUCCAAACCCCUUCUACUCAAAAGUUGAUUCCUGACUUUCCAUAAGGAACCCUGAAUAAGACAGCAGUUACUUUAUACUCCUAAAAACUAUCUUCAACUAGACUGGAGAGAAGCAGUACUAUUUUAAUCUGCUUGGAUUCACAUGAAUGCUGCUUUAAUCAGUCCCCACUUGCUUCUGCCACCUUUCCCCAAGUUUAGGUUUGUAAAAUCCUGAAUUGAUUGCUAAAUAUACAGAAAGAAAUUGCCAAAGCAGCUUUCUAGGAUGUAUGGUUAGUGUAAAAAAAAGCUUUAUCAAAUGUGGAAAAUUACAACUUUGUCCCCUAAGUUAAUAAAUACUUGAGAAUAUAAAGGAGUAAGAUGCAGUAGGACCACUUUAAACUCCUGUACUUCAUGUAGUGUUUUAGAAUUUCCAUUUAAAUGGCUUUCUCUAGUCAGCAGCCUGGUUCUGGCUCCCAUCACUCUAAGGCAUAUGUAGUGUUACAGGCAUAUGUCAGUGUAAUAGGAAAAAUGUCACCCUAGAGAGAGAAAGUUUGGUAUUUGGUUUACAUAACAACAUCUUAUGAUUCAGCCUCAAUAAAGUCUUGGUUUUAGUUAAAAGAAAAUUAAACUUAUCCUUGACUGAUACAGUGAACUAAGCUUUUAAAAGCAUAUAUGCAAUAUUUAUGUCCUGUCAAGCACUUUCACUUUCCAUAGUAACAGGCCCUCUCUUCCAUACUUAAAAUGGAUUUGAUGCAUAAACAAUAUUGCUGAAAACACGUCCAAAAUUAAUGAAGACGACUUUGCAUUACAAAACUAGUUGUUAAGGCCGAUUGUGACCUUGUACAGUCCCUUACACAAGCAAGGGUACACAGCCAUUCGGCUGAGAUGAAAAUAAAGCCUCCCCUCUCCUCAACAAACAGUACCCAAAGCGCAUUACAGCGGGCACU